CAGAACAUGGCACUGGGGCAAGCAGGCCUUUGGCAGCCAGGCGGACAACAAAACCCAGGAGCCCAGCCUGGUUUUGGAUUUAACCUGGGUCUGAAUCCUUUUGAUUUGGGCAUCAAAGUG
This is a long non-coding RNA of Trachemys scripta elegans, 120 nucleotides long. RefSeq lists it as uncharacterized. NCBI's taxonomy places the organism in Eukaryota, Metazoa, Chordata, Testudines, Emydidae. The record is from RefSeq and is a predicted model, not a curated record. The transcript has 4 exons.